RNAcentral lists this ribosomal RNA (1742 nucleotides) under Salmonella enterica subsp. enterica serovar Enteritidis. RNAcentral describes it as "partial 23S ribosomal RNA". It matches the Rfam family "Bacterial large subunit ribosomal RNA", at positions 1213 to 2925 of the family's 2925-position model. Lineage: Bacteria; Pseudomonadati; Pseudomonadota; Gammaproteobacteria; Enterobacterales; Enterobacteriaceae. The record is from RNAcentral.
CUGAUGCGUUGUUGGGUAGGGGAGCGUUCUGUAAGCCUGCGAAGGUGGCCUGUGAGGGUUGCUGGAGGUAUCAGAAGUGCGAAUGCUGACAUAAGUAACGAUAAAGCGGGUGAAAAGCCCGCUCGCCGGAAGACCAAGGGUUCCUGUCCAACGUUAAUCGGGGCAGGGUGAGUCGACCCCUAAGGCGAGGCCGAAAGGCGUAGUCGAUGGGAAACGGGUUAAUAUUCCCGUACUUGGUGUUACUGCGAAGGGGGGACGGAGAAGGCUAUGUUGGCCGGGCGACGGUUGUCCCGGUUUAAGCGUGUAGGCUGGUUUUCCAGGCAAAUCCGGAAAAUCAAGGCUGAGGCGUGAUGACGAGGCACUACGGUGCUGAAGCAACAAAUGCCCUGCUUCCAGGAAAAGCCUCUAAGCAUCAGGUAACAUCAAAUCGUACCCCAAACCGACACAGGUGGUCAGGUAGAGAAUACCAAGGCGCUUGAGAGAACUCGGGUGAAGGAACUAGGCAAAAUGGUGCCGUAACUUCGGGAGAAGGCACGCUGACACGUAGGUGAAGUGAUUUACUCAUGGAGCUGAAGUCAGUCGAAGAUACCAGCUGGCUGCAACUGUUUAUUAAAAACACAGCACUGUGCAAACACGAAAGUGGACGUAUACGGUGUGACGCCUGCCCGGUGCCGGAAGGUUAAUUGAUGGGGUCAGCGCAAGCGAAGCUCCUGAUCGAAGCCCCGGUAAACGGCGGCCGUAACUAUAACGGUCCUAAGGUAGCGAAAUUCCUUGUCGGGUAAGUUCCGACCUGCACGAAUGGCGUAAUGAUGGCCAGGCUGUCUCCACCCGAGACUCAGUGAAAUUGAACUCGCUGUGAAGAUGCAGUGUACCCGCGGCAAGACGGAAAGACCCCGUGAACCUUUACUAUAGCUUGACACUGAACAUUGAGCCUUGAUGUGUAGGAUAGGUGGGAGGCUUUGAAGUGUGGACGCCAGUCUGCAUGGAGCCGACCUUGAAAUACCACCCUUUAAUGUUUGAUGUUCUAACGUGGACCCGUUACCCGGGUUGCGGACAGUGUCUGGUGGGUAGUUUGACUGGGGCGGUCUCCUCCUAAAGAGUAACGGAGGAGCACGAAGGUUGGCUAAUCCUGGUCGGACAUCAGGAGGUUAGUGCAAUGGCAUAAGCCAGCUUGACUGCGAGCGUGACGGCGCGAGCAGGUGCGAAAGCAGGUCAUAGUGAUCCGGUGGUUCUGAAUGGAAGGGCCAUCGCUCAACGGAUAAAAGGUACUCCGGGGAUAACAGGCUGAUACCGCCCAAGAGUUCAUAUCGACGGCGGUGUUUGGCACCUCGAUGUCGGCUCAUCACAUCCUGGGGCUGAAGUAGGUCCCAAGGGUAUGGCUGUUCGCCAUUUAAAGUGGUACGCGAGCUGGGUUUAGAACGUCGUGAGACAGUUCGGUCCCUAUCUGCCGUGGGCGCUGGAGAACUGAGGGGGGCUGCUCCUAGUACGAGAGGACCGGAGUGGACGCAUCACUGGUGUUCGGGUUGUCAUGCCAAUGGCACUGCCCGGUAGCUAAAUGCGGAAGAGAUAAGUGCUGAAAGCAUCUAAGCACGAAACUUGCCCCGAGAUGAGUUCUCCCUGAGACUUAGAGUCUCCUGAAGGAACGUUGAAGACGACGACGUUGAUAGGCCGGGUGUGUAAGCGCAGCGAUGCGUUGAGCUAACCGGUACUAAUGAACCGUGAGGCUUAACCUUACAACGCCG